This 69-nucleotide non-coding RNA is filed under the name uncultured eukaryote. The record is from RNAcentral.
UUUUUUUUUUUUUGAAAAUGAACCAUUCCGAAAAAAAAAAAAAAAGAAAAUAAGGCACAACGUUGUCAC